This 1491-nucleotide ribosomal RNA is filed under the name metagenome. RNAcentral describes it as "bacterial SSU rRNA". It matches the Rfam family "Bacterial small subunit ribosomal RNA". The record is from RNAcentral.
AGAGUUUGAUCCUGGCUCAGAUUGAACGCUGGCGGCAUGCCUUACACAUGCAAGUCGAACGGCAGCACGAGAGCUUGCUCUUGGUGGCGAGUGGCGAACGGGUGAGUAAUAUAUCGGAACGUACCCUAGAGUGGGGGAUAACGUAGCGAAAGUUACGCUAAUACCGCAUACGAUCUACGGAUGAAAGUGGGGGAUCGCAAGACCUCAUGCCCAUGGAGCGGCCGAUAUCUGAUUAGCUAGUUGGUGGGGUAAAAGCUCACCAAGGCGACGAUCAGUAGCUGGUCUGAGAGGACGACCAGCCACACUGGAACUGAGACACGGUCCAGACUCCUACGGGAGGCAGCAGUGGGGAAUUUUGGACAAUGGGCGCAAGCCUGAUCCAGCAAUGCCGCGUGAGUGAAGAAGGCCUUCGGGUUGUAAAGCUCUUUUGUCAGGGAAGAAACGGUGGACUCUAAUACAGAUCACUAAUGACGGUACCUGAAGAAUAAGCACCGGCUAACUACGUGCCAGCAGCCGCGGUAAUACGUAGGGUGCAAGCGUUAAUCGGAAUUACUGGGCGUAAAGCGUGCGCAGGCGGUUGUGCAAGACAGAUGUGAAAUCCCCGGGCUCAACCUGGGAAUUGCAUUUGUGACUGCACGGCUAGAGUGUGUCAGAGGGGGGUAGAAUUCCACGUGUAGCAGUGAAAUGCGUAGAGAUGUGGAGGAAUACCGAUGGCGAAGGCAGCCCCCUGGGAUAACACUGACGCUCAUGCACGAAAGCGUGGGGAGCAAACAGGAUUAGAUACCCUGGUAGUCCACGCCCUAAACGAUGUCUACUAGUUGUCGGGUCUUAAUUGACUUGGUAACGCAGCUAACGCGUGAAGUAGACCGCCUGGGGAGUACGGUCGCAAGAUUAAAACUCAAAGGAAUUGACGGGGACCCGCACAAGCGGUGGAUGAUGUGGAUUAAUUCGAUGCAACGCGAAAAACCUUACCUACCCUUGACAUGUCUGGAAUCCUUGAGAGAUCAGGGAGUGCUCGAAAGAGAAUCAGAACACAGGUGCUGCAUGGCUCUCGUCAGCUCGUGUCGUGAGAUGUUGGGUUAAGUCCCGCAACGAGCGCAACCCUUGUCAUUAGUUGCUACGAAAGGGCACUCUAAUGAGACUGCCGGUGACAAACCGGAGGAAGGUGGGGAUGACGUCAAGUCCUCAUGGCCCUUAUGGGUAGGGCUUCACACGUCAUACAAUGGUACAUACAGAGGGCCGCCAACCCGCGAGGGGGAGCUAAUCCCAGAAAGUGUAUCGUAGUCCGGAUUGUAGUCUGCAACUCGACUACAUGAAGUUGGAAUCGCUAGUAAUCGCGGAUCAGCAUGUCGCGGUGAAUACGUUCCCGGGUCUUGUACACACCGCCCGUCGCACCAUGGGAGCGGGUUUCACCAGAAGUGGGUAGCCUAACCGCAAGGAGGGCGCUCACCACGGUGGGAUUCGUGACUGGGGUGAAGUCGUAACAAGGUA